AUGAAUUAUGAGUUUAAUAGAUCCUCUUUAGCAGAAAGACGUAUAUUCCUUGCUCAUUAUCAGACAAUCACUUAUUCCCAAACCUCGUGUGGGACUAAUCGUUUUCAUUUACCAUCUCAUGGAAAACCCUUUUCGUUCCGC
This 141-nucleotide ribosomal RNA is filed under the name Triticum aestivum (bread wheat). RNAcentral's name for it is "partial small subunit ribosomal RNA". Lineage: Eukaryota; Viridiplantae; Streptophyta; Magnoliopsida; Poales; Poaceae. The record is from RNAcentral.